CGCUCAUCGACAACUCGCUCAGCAAGAAACCCCAGACCGUGCAGAUCGAGGCCACCGACAAGGCGUUCAAGACCGACGGCUGUCAGCCGUGGCAGAUCACCGACGCCCCGGCGCCCGCAGAGCUGCCCGGACCGGCCGCGGGUGGCCAAUUGCAGGCGAACCUCGGCGCCUUGAACGGACUGCUCGGCCCGACCGGCCAGCACGUG
RNAcentral lists this non-coding RNA (206 nucleotides) under Mycobacterium sp. 1423905.2. RNAcentral describes it as "Mycobacterium sRNA 6715". It matches the Rfam family "Mycobacterium sRNA 6715". Rfam says of the family: First sRNA identified as a potential biomarker for the detection of MTB in patients. The record is from Rfam by way of RNAcentral. Lineage: Bacteria; Bacillati; Actinomycetota; Actinomycetes; Mycobacteriales; Mycobacteriaceae.